RNAcentral lists this ribosomal RNA (485 nucleotides) under unidentified. RNAcentral describes it as "Antaioserpens albiceps partial large subunit ribosomal RNA". It matches the Rfam family "Bacterial large subunit ribosomal RNA", at positions 1844 to 2593 of the family's 2925-position model. The record is from RNAcentral.
UAUUAAAGGCAACGCCUGCCCAGUGAAUAAUUUAACGGCCGCGGUACCCUAACCGUGCAAAGGUAGCGUAAUCACUUGCCUAUUAAUUGUAGGCCUGUAUGAAAGGCAUAAUGAGGGUCCAACUGUCUCUUUUAGCUAAUCAAUCAAACUGAUCUCCUAGUCAAAAAGCUAGAAUGUAACCAUAAGACCAGAAGACCCUGUGAAACUUUAACUAAACUAUUAAACCCAAUAAUAGCUCCUUUGGGUUGGGGCGACCUUGGAAAAAAAAACAACUUCCAAAUAUACAAUACUCUACAGUAUUAACCCAGGCCAACAAGCCAACAACGACCCAGCACAGCUGAUAAUUGAACCAAGCUACUCCAGGGAUAACAGCGCCAUCUUCUUCAAGAGCCCAUAUCAAAAAGAAGGUUUACGACCUCGAUGUUGGAUCAGGACAUCCUAAUGGUGCAACCGCUAUUAAGGGUUCGUUCGUUCAACGAUUAACA